This 406-nucleotide ribosomal RNA is filed under the name uncultured bacterium. RNAcentral describes it as "partial 16S ribosomal RNA". It matches the Rfam family "Bacterial small subunit ribosomal RNA", at positions 30 to 526 of the family's 1533-position model. The record is from RNAcentral.
AUUGAACGCUGGCGGCAGGCCUAACACAUGCAAGUCGAACGAGUGGCGGACGGGUUAGUAAUGUCUGGGAAACUGCCUGAUGGAGGGGGCUAACGAAUGGAAACGGUAGCUAAUACCGCAUAGCAUCACAUAUGCCCAGAUGGGAUUAGCUUGCUGGUGGGGUAACGGCUCACCAAGGCCACGAUCCCUAGCUGGUCUGAGAGGAUGACCAGCCACACUGGAACUGGGACACGGUCCAGACUCCUACGGGAGGCAGCAGUGGGGAAUAUUGGACAAUGGGCGAAAGCCUGAUGCAGCCAUGCCGCGUGUAUGAAGAAGGCCUUCGGGUUGUAAAGUACUUUCAGCGGGGAGGCGUUACCCGCAGAAUAAGCACCGGCUAACUCCGUGCCAGCAGCCGCGGUAAUAC